This 250-nucleotide ribosomal RNA is filed under the name uncultured bacterium. RNAcentral's name for it is "partial 16S ribosomal RNA". It matches the Rfam family "Bacterial small subunit ribosomal RNA", at positions 524 to 773 of the family's 1533-position model. The record is from RNAcentral.
UACGGAGGAUCCGAGCGUUAUCCGGAUUUAUUGGGUUUAAAGGGAGCGUAGGCGGAUGUUUAAGUCAGUUGUGAAAGUUUAAGGCUCAACCUUGAAAUUGCAGUUGAUACUGCCAGUCUUGAGUACAGUAGAGGUGGGCGGAAUUCGUGGUGUAGCGGUGAAAUGCUUAGAUAUCACGAAGAACUCCGAUUGCGAAGGCAGCUCACAGGACUGUAACUGACGCUGAUGCUCGAAAGUGUGGGUAUCAAAC